GAUGAACGCUAGCGGCAGGCUUAACACAUGCAAGUCGAGGGGCAGCGCGAUGUAGCAAUACAUUGGCGGCGACCGGCGCACGGGUGCGUAACACGUAUGGAACUUACCCUUUACUGGGAGAUAGCCCGGAGAAAUCCGAAUUAAUAUCCCAUAAUAAACGAAGUGGCAUCACUUUGUUUUGAAAGCUCCGGCGGUAAAGGAUGGCCAUGCGCACGAUUAGCUAGUAGGUGAGGUAACGGCUCACCUAGGCUACGAUCGUUAGGGGGCCUGAGAGGGUUAUCCCCCACACUGGUACUGAGACACGGACCAGACUCCUACGGGAGGCAGCAGUGAGGAAUAUUGCGCAAUGGAGGCAACUCUGACGCAGCCAUGCCGCGUGCAGGAAGAAGGCGCUACGCGUUGUAAACUGCUUUUAACCGGGAAGAAACCCUCCGACGUGUCGGAGGUUGACGGUACCGGAGGAAUAAGCACCGGCUAACUUCGUGCCAGCAGCCGCGGUAAAGUG
Molecule: ribosomal RNA, 505 nt
Filed under: uncultured bacterium
Lineage: Bacteria
Description: bacterial SSU rRNA
Rfam family: Bacterial small subunit ribosomal RNA
Source: RNAcentral